GGCUAAUUUGACUCAACGCGGGAAAUCUUACCGGGUCCGGACACACUGAGGAUCGACAGACAGUAUUCAUGGCGAGUCUCUCGUCAUAUUUCAAAUGUGCGAGUUCUUUCAUGAUUGUGUGAUAGGUGGUGCAUGGCCGUUCUUAGUUCGUGGAGUGAUCUGUCUGCUUAAUUGCGUUUCAUAUUUACGAAUGUCGCUUACGUGAUUGCUGCAGACCUCGUCUCCUCUGGAGGCGACGCGUCUCUUCAACUCACUCGCACAUUCUCUUGAACGCAACGAGCGUGACCGCAACCUCUUGUUGUGUAUACCAAGUGUGGCGCUGGCUUGCCAGCUCGCACUCCAAUGCACGUAUUUUGGUCACAUUGUCUCGCGGCGCCUCGGCGUUUGCAGCAAUGUCCAAAUAAACUUGAGGGACCGCUGUAACAAUUCUUUUAAACCAGAGGAAGGUUGCGGCAAUAACAGGUCUGUGAUGC
Molecule: ribosomal RNA, 473 nt
Filed under: Hastigerina pelagica
Lineage: Eukaryota; Foraminifera; Rotaliida; Hantkeninidae
Description: bacterial SSU rRNA
Rfam family: Eukaryotic small subunit ribosomal RNA
Source: RNAcentral